GCUUACGACCACACCGGCCUGAGUAUGCCUGAUCUCGUCUGAUCUCGGAAGCUAAUCAGGGUCGGGCCUGGUUAGUACUUGGAUGGGAGACCUCCUGGGAAUACCAGGUGCUGUAAGCU
Oncorhynchus kisutch (coho salmon) is the source of this 119-nucleotide ribosomal RNA. Lineage: Eukaryota; Metazoa; Chordata; Actinopteri; Salmoniformes; Salmonidae. The record is from Ensembl.